RNAcentral lists this transfer RNA (71 nucleotides) under Loxodonta africana (African savanna elephant). It matches the Rfam family "tRNA". From Rfam's summary of the family: Transfer RNA (tRNA) molecules are approximately 80 nucleotides in length. Their secondary structure includes four short double-helical elements and three loops (D, anti-codon, and T loops). Lineage: Eukaryota; Metazoa; Chordata; Mammalia; Proboscidea; Elephantidae. The record is from Rfam by way of RNAcentral.
GCGUUGGUGGUUCAGUGGUAGAAUUCUUGCCUUCCGUGCAGAGGAACCCGGUUUGAUUCCCAGCCAAUGCG